This 241-nucleotide ribosomal RNA is filed under the name uncultured bacterium. RNAcentral's name for it is "partial 16S ribosomal RNA". It matches the Rfam family "Bacterial small subunit ribosomal RNA", at positions 524 to 765 of the family's 1533-position model. The record is from RNAcentral.
UACGUAGGGUGCGAGCGUUGUCCGGAAUUACUGGGCGUAAAGAGCUCGUAGGUGGUUUGUCGCGUUGUCCGUGAAAACUCACAACUCAAUUGUGGGCGUGCGGGCGAUACGGGCAGACUGGAGUACUGCAGGGGAGACUGGAAUUCCUGGUGUAGCGGUGAAAAUGCGCAGAUAUCAGGAGGAACACCGAUGGCGAAGGCAGGUCUCUGGGCUGUAACUACGUGAGGAGCGAAAGCAUGGG